AUGUGGUCCUCCGUGUUACAGGUGCUUCGUACGGUUGAUGAACAUGGACGUGGGCCAUCUCAAGUAGUGGGUUUGAUUGAAAAACUGGAGAGCUUUAAAUUUGCUUUCAUUCUAAAGCUUAUGUUGAAGUUGUUUGGUGUCACUAAUGAGUUCUCAAAAGUCCUGCAAAGAAAAGAUCUUAAUAUUGUGCUUGCCAUGGAAUUAGUGGAUGAUAUCAAAGCUCGACUGGCAACAUUAAGAGAGAGUGGUUGGGAUGAUUUAUUUUGUGAUGUUCAAGAAUUUUGUGCUGCUAAUAGUAUUCCAGUGCCAAACAUAGAUGAAGUAAUACCAGUUCAUGGUCAUUCAAGGAGAGCAGGGAGGACUGUCCCUAAUCUUCACCAUUACCGUGCAGAGAUUGUUUAUGUUGCUAUUGACAAAAUAUGGCUAGAGAUGGAUCACCGCUUUAGUGAAGGAGCUAAUGGUGUGCUUGAUUGCUUCUCAUGUCUUGAUCCUAAUAAUUCUUUCUCCAAGUUUAAUGUUGAUAAGCUUGUGCGUCUUGCUGAAAUUUAUCAUGAUGAUUUUUCCAAUGAUGACCGUGGAACAAUAAGAGAGCAACUUAUCACAUAUAUAAGUCAAGUGAAAAGACAUGCUUCUUUUUCUACUUGUGAUGAUGUUAAAAGUUUGGCCAUGAAGAUGGUUGAAACUGAGAAACAUUUGGUAUUUCCAUUGACAAAUUUUUCAGCAAUGAAGAUUAUCAAGACUAAACAGCGUAGUAAGAUCAAUAAUGAAUGGUUCAAUGACUUGAUGAUAUGUUACACCGAGCGGGAAUUAUUCAAGUCAGUUGAUGAUAAGUAUAUUAUUCGAACAUCACUGCAAUGA
RNAcentral lists this ribosomal RNA (858 nucleotides) under Triticum aestivum (bread wheat). RNAcentral's name for it is "partial small subunit ribosomal RNA". Lineage: Eukaryota; Viridiplantae; Streptophyta; Magnoliopsida; Poales; Poaceae. The record is from RNAcentral.